This 373-nucleotide ribosomal RNA is filed under the name uncultured bacterium. Its description in RNAcentral is "bacterial SSU rRNA". It matches the Rfam family "Bacterial small subunit ribosomal RNA", at positions 28 to 404 of the family's 1533-position model. The record is from RNAcentral.
GACGAACGCUGGCGGCGUGCUUAACACAUGCAAGUCGAGCGGAAAGGCCCUUUCGGGGGUACUCGAGCGGCGAACGGGUGAGUAACACGUGAGUAACCUGCCCCAGUCUUUGGGAUAACCCUCGGAAACGGGGGCUAAUACCGGAUAUGACCUGGUCUCGCAUGGGAUCGGGUGGAAAGUUUUUUCGGUCUGGGAUGGGCUCGCGGCCUAUCAGCUUGUUGGUGGGGUGAUGGCCUACCAAGGCGACGACGGGAGCCGGCCUGAGAGGGCGACCGGCCACACUGGGACUGAGACACGGCCCAGACUCCUACGGGAGGCAGCAGUGGGGAAUAUUGCACAAUGGGCGCAAGCCUGAUGCAGCGACGCCGCGUGA